UGGGGAAUUUUGGACAAUGGGCGCAAGCCUGAUCCAGCCAUGCCGCGUGCGGGAAGAAGGCCUUCGGGUUGUAAACCGCUUUUGUCAGGGAAGAAAUCUUCUGAGUUAAUACCUCGGGAGGAUGACGGUACCUGAAGAAUAAGCACCGGCUAACUACGUGCCAGCAGCCGCGGUAAUACGUAGGGUGCAAGCGUUAAUCGGAAUUACUGGGCGUAAAGCGUGCGCAGGCGGUUUUGUAAGACAGAGGUGAAAUCCCCGGGCUCAACCUGGGAACUGCCUUUGUGACUGCAAGGCUUGAGUGCGGCAGAGGGGGAUGGAAUUCCGCGUGUAGCAGUGAAAUGCGUAGAUAUGCGGAGGAACACCGAUGGCGAAGGCAAUCCCCUGGGCCUGCACUGACGCUCAUGCACGAAAGCGUGGGGAGCAAAACAGGAUUAGAUACCCUGGUAGUCCACGCCCUAAACGAUGUCAACUGGUUGUUGGGAAGGUUCCUUCUCAGUAACGUAGCUAACGCGUGAAAGUUGACCGCCUGGGGAGUACGGCCGC
This 543-nucleotide ribosomal RNA is filed under the name uncultured bacterium. RNAcentral describes it as "partial 16S ribosomal RNA". It matches the Rfam family "Bacterial small subunit ribosomal RNA", at positions 355 to 889 of the family's 1533-position model. The record is from RNAcentral.